Molecule: long non-coding RNA, 1186 nt
Organism: Pseudopipra pipra
Lineage: Eukaryota; Metazoa; Chordata; Aves; Passeriformes; Pipridae
Exons: 2
Source: RefSeq, a predicted model, not a curated record
CACAGAUGCCCAGACCAUGGUCUCUCAUGGAUGGAUGCCUUUUUUCUCCAUCAACAGCAAGAGACAAAAACAAGAGGCACCAAGUGAAUGACAGAGCCAUCCUCACCCAGUGGCCCAGGAGCCUUAGUGCCUGGCCCUUGCAUGAGCUUCAUUGCGAUUAUGCCGUGCCUGGCCUUGUUGACUUGACUUUCUUGCUUGCCCUUGAACAUUUUCUUGUCACAGGAAACAUGCCUGGUGGCAACUGGGGGCUGGACUAGGGACUACCACUUGAUCUGCUCUGCUUGCCUUGUUUUGGCAGUGGGGGGACUGCACCCUUGCUUGAGGGGCUGUUGUCAUUCCCUGUCUCCAGGGAGCUGUCCCAUUACACAAUUUAGUGCAAUGAUCAAACACCAAGUAAUUAUGUAAGUGAAUAAUCAAAUAUUUUCCUUCCUAAACCUUUCUUAGCUCCAUAGAAAUGAAUAAGAAGUAUACUGACCCACUGCUGUGAAUAUUGGUUACCGAGGUAUGCGAUAUACAGGCUGGUGCAUGGGUCUGCUGGUGAAUCUGUGGAAAAAAUCGGCCUCAACAACAAAAAAUAAAGAGAGAUCAGGAGGUGAAGAACAUCAGGAAGGCCCUGGAUCUUGUUCAGUUUCUGCUCAAGUUAUUAGAAAAAUUCCUGCUAACUCAGGCAGCAGAGGAACAAAACCUAGGAGAAACUUCAGCAGCUUUUUUGUGGGUUCUGUAGGGUGCCCUGGGUCAGGUGGUGGGAUGGGGUAAGAAAGAUGCUGCCUCUUACCAGCCUUGCUCCGUGACAGGCACUCCUUAUAGGAACGCCAAGAAUUUUGAAGUCAUCGAAUGAAUAAUUUAUAGGAAAUCAUUUGCUGUGCCUAGUCAUUCCCUAAAAUGCUCAAAUGCAUGUCUCUAAUGGGCUUAUAAAGUUGUGAUGAGGACAGCCAUUGGAAAAAGUCAUCAGUGUAUAAAAGGGUAGAUGAUUUGAGCUGGCUGAAGACUGAGUUGCAAGAUUCUUUUGAGGAAUAUUUCUACAGAAGAAUACCCUAUUUCCUUGCACUUAAUAUUGGGAAUAAGAAUCCCCGGGAGGUAAAAACCCCUCCUCUCUAAUUUCUUUGUUUCAGUUCCCUUCACUCCCCACAUUCUGUUUGCCAUAAAAGAAGAAAAAGGGGUGUGAAAUAAAAUAAAAUAAAAAUAA